GAUGAACGCUGGCGGCGUGCCUCAAACAUGCAAGUCGAGCGGGGCUAUGUAAUAUCGCAAGGUAGAACAUAGCCUAGCGGCGAACGGGUGAGUAACACGUGGGUAACCUGCCUGGAAGACAGGGAUAACGAUUCGAAAGGGUCGCUAAUACCUGAUAAUAUCCUUUCAUCGCAUGGUGAUAGGAAGAAAGGGGAAACCCGCUUUCAGAUGGGCCCGCGUCCCAUCAGCUAGUUGGUAAGGUAAAGGCUUACCAAGGCGACGACGGGUAGCCGGUCUGAGAGGAUGUACGGCCACACUGGGACUGAGAUACGGCCCAGACUCCUACGGGAGGCAGCAGUUGGGAAUCUUAGGCAAUGGACGAAAGUCUGACCUAGCGACGCCGCGUGAGGGAAGAAGGCCUUCGGGUUGUAAACCUCUGUCUUCAGGGACGAAGAGGGUGUGGGAGACACACCGAAGCCGGUACCUGAGGAGGAAGCCCCGGCUAACUACGUG
RNAcentral lists this ribosomal RNA (492 nucleotides) under uncultured bacterium. RNAcentral's name for it is "bacterial SSU rRNA". It matches the Rfam family "Bacterial small subunit ribosomal RNA", at positions 28 to 507 of the family's 1533-position model. The record is from RNAcentral.